This 309-nucleotide ribosomal RNA is filed under the name uncultured bacterium. RNAcentral's name for it is "partial 16S rRNA". It matches the Rfam family "Bacterial small subunit ribosomal RNA", at positions 672 to 985 of the family's 1533-position model. The record is from RNAcentral.
GGUGUAGCGAUGAAAUGCGUAGAGAUCCGGAAGAACACCGGGGGGGAAGGCGGCCUUCUGGACAGUAACCGACGCUUAAGCGCGAAAGCUAGGGGAGCAAGAUGAUUAUAUACCCUGGUAGUCCUAGCCAUAAACGAUGGGCACUUGGUGUGGGGGGGACCAACCCUGUUCCUGCCCAAAAAAAUUUUAAGCCUCCCGCCUGGGAAGUACGGCCGCAUGGUUAAACUCAAAGAAAUUGACACCCGCCACCAAGCGGGGGGUGUGGGGGUUUAUUUCACCCCACAGCAAAAAACUUACCCUGGCUUUGAC